UUUAUCGGAGAGUUUGAUCCUGGCUCAGGACGAACGCUGGCGGCGUGCCUAAUACAUGCAAGUCGAGCGGACAGAUGGGAGCUUGCUCCCUGAUGUUAGCGGCGGACGGGUGAGUAACACGUGGGUAACCUGCCUGUAAGACUGGGAUAACUCCGGGAAACCGGGGCUAAUACCGGAUGGUUGUUUGAACCGCAUGGUUCAAACAUAAAAGGUGGCUUCGGCUACCACUUACAGAUGGACCCGCGGCGCAUUAGCUAGUUGGUGAGGUAACGGCUCACCAAGGCAACGAUGCGUAGCCGACCUGAGAGGGUGAUCGGCCACACUGGGACUGAGACACGGCCCAGACUCCUACGGGAGGCAGCAGUAGGGA
This 370-nucleotide ribosomal RNA is filed under the name Bacillus subtilis. RNAcentral describes it as "bacterial SSU rRNA". It matches the Rfam family "Bacterial small subunit ribosomal RNA", at positions 1 to 360 of the family's 1533-position model. Lineage: Bacteria; Bacillati; Bacillota; Bacilli; Caryophanales; Bacillaceae. The record is from RNAcentral.